Molecule: ribosomal RNA, 274 nt
Filed under: uncultured bacterium
Lineage: Bacteria
Description: partial 16S ribosomal RNA
Rfam family: Bacterial small subunit ribosomal RNA
Source: RNAcentral
CUACGGAGGGUGCAAGCGUUACUCGGAAUCACUGGGCGUAAAGCGCGCGCAGGCGGUCUUUUAAGUUGGAUGUGAAAGCCUACAGCUCAACUGUAGAACUGCAUCCAAAACUAUUAGACUAGAGUCUGGGAGGGGAAGAUGGAAUUAGUUGUGUAGGGGUAAAAUCCGUAGAGAUAACUAGGAAUACCAAAAGCGAAGGCGAUCUUCUGGAACAGUACUGACGCUGAGGCGCGAAAGCGUGGGGAGCAAACAGGAUUAGAUACCCCGGUAGUCC